Molecule: long non-coding RNA, 1002 nt
Organism: Clupea harengus (Atlantic herring)
Lineage: Eukaryota; Metazoa; Chordata; Actinopteri; Clupeiformes; Clupeidae
Exons: 3
Source: RefSeq, a predicted model, not a curated record
AAUCCAACAGAAAAAAAUAUGACAUUUACAUUUACAUUUAGUCAUUUAGCAGACGCUUUUAUCCAAAGCGACUUACAAGGAAAUUGCAUUUAUACAUCAGGAUUUUUUCUUUUUUUUUCUUCCCUUUCCCGUAGGUAGUGUGUCGCCCCAAUCACCCUUAUGGACAAGCCACCCCUGCUUGUAGGUCUGUGUAAGCAUGUGAGUGAGAGAGAGAAAGAAAGAAAGAAAGAAAGAAAGAAAGAAAAUAAAUAAAUAAAUAAAUGUGUAUGUGCUGGUGUAUAUCCGACAGGCUGGGCGAGAAUAGUGCCUACUUCCUGUGAGGGUGUGACAGACGACUUGUAGGGGAACUUCCACACAAAUCCUUGACAAAAAGUUUGACAGCUGAACUUCUGGAAACAGAUGUCUGUCUUAUAGCUCACAAUCACCUCUUGACUGAAUCUUAGAGGACACAAGUCAGAAGACAAAAUCUACUUGAAUUUAACACAAACAGACACAUCAAAGGACUCUACCACAGCUCACAAUCAAUACUUGACUGAAACUAAGAGGUCACAAGGAUGUCAGAAGACAAAAUCUGCUCAGAUGUAAUGCCAAAGGACACACCUGAGGACUCUACCACAGCUCAGAGUUCUAAGGAAGCAAAUUGUUGCCAGUUAACCAUGGAUGAGAUGAGUCUCCUGAAACUGAAGUUAACCAUCCUGGCUGUCCUCUGUGUCAUCCUUGGAGCUUUUCUUGUGGCUUUUCAAGUGCUUUGUGAGUGUGUUUUUAAAAAGUGAGUGUUCACCAUGUCCAUUAGUGUGCUAGCAAGCAAGAAAGUGUGUAUUUUAUAGUCCAUUCUAGGCUUAAUAUUCAACAAUAUACAACCAUUACCAUCAUAUACCAUGUUAGUAUUUAUGUGAUUUGUAAUUCUGAAAAUGAUAGGAUAGGACAACAUGUAUUCGUCUUGUUCUGAAAUAUUUAAAUUAAUCGAUUGAAAAAUCAAAACGUAAUUCAGUAUAUAGAUGU